RNAcentral lists this long non-coding RNA (536 nucleotides) under Mytilus galloprovincialis (Mediterranean mussel). Lineage: Eukaryota; Metazoa; Mollusca; Bivalvia; Mytilida; Mytilidae. The record is from RNAcentral.
UGUUGCUUUGUUGUUUAUUGCCCUGUUGCCUUGUUGUUUGUUUUUUGUUGCACUUCUGUGUUCUGUUAUUUCGUUGUUUUCCUCUUAUAGUUGAUGUGUUUGAACAACGGUAUACUAUUGUUGCCUUUAUUUGGUAGUAUUCCUUUUGUGUGGCUCGGUCUGUAUACAUCAGGUCAUUGUGUAAUUGUGCUAUGGUCAAUUUGUGUAUUCUUGUCUUUCAGUUUUGUUAACGUGCUUUGUCUAUAUGCCAUUUUGUUUUUCUUGGCUGACAUAUUUGUUUGUUUUUUUAGUGAUUGAUAUUAUAAAACAUUGUUGACUACUGUACCCCCCAUUUUUGACAUUUUUACUUAUCAUAUAUUUUUGUUUGUUCAAUACAAUGAAAUUUAAUGCGACUCAUACAAAUAAGAGGUUUAGCUAGUUGUAAAACUUGGUUUAUUCCACUGUUUUCUAGACAAGGAAAUGCCUGUACCAAGUCCUUUUUAUGGAAAAUGUAUAACAAACAUACCGAUUUCCAAGGCAAACUUUAAAAGGAGAAG